UAGGGAAUCUUUCGCAAUGGACGCAAGUCUGACGGAGCAACGCCGCGUGAGUGAAGAAGGAUUUCGGUUCGUAAAACUCUGUUGUUAGAGAAGAACAGCGCAUAGAGUAACUGUUAUGCGUGUGACGGUAUCUAACCAGAAAGCCACGGCUAACUACGUGCCAGCAGCCGCGGUAAUACGUAGGUGGCAAGCGUUGUCCGGAUUUAUUGGGCGUAAAGCGAGCGCAGGCGGUCAAUUAAGUCUGAUGUGAAAGCCCCCGGCUCAACCGGGGAGGGUCAUUGGAAACUGGUUGACUUGAGUGCAGAAGAGGAGAGUGGAAUUCCAUGUGUAGCGGUGAAAUGCGUAGAUAUAUGGAGGAACACCGGUGGCGAAAGCGGCUCUCUGGUCUGUAACUGACGCUGAGGCUCGAAAGCGUGGGUAGCAAACAGG
Molecule: ribosomal RNA, 429 nt
Filed under: Bacteroidota bacterium
Lineage: Bacteria; Pseudomonadati; Bacteroidota
Description: Bacteroidetes bacterium partial 16S ribosomal RNA
Rfam family: Bacterial small subunit ribosomal RNA
Source: RNAcentral